This 440-nucleotide ribosomal RNA is filed under the name uncultured bacterium. Its description in RNAcentral is "bacterial SSU rRNA". It matches the Rfam family "Bacterial small subunit ribosomal RNA", at positions 355 to 786 of the family's 1533-position model. The record is from RNAcentral.
UGGGGAAUCUUGCGCAAUGCGCGAAAGCGUGACGCAGCAACGCCGCGUGGGGGAAGACGGCCUUCGGGUUGUAAACCCCUUUCAGUUGGGACGAAGCUUCGACGGUGAAUAGCCGGCUGGAGUGACGGUACCUUCAGAAGAAGCCCCGGCUAACUACGUGCCAGCAGCCGCGGUAAUACGUAGGGGGCAAGCGUUGUCCGGAAUUAUUGGGCGUAAAGAGCUCGUAGGCGGUUUGUCGCGUCGGCUGUGAAAUCUGGAGGCUUAACCUUCAGCGUGCAGUCGAUACGGGCAGACUUGAGUUCGGUAGGGGAGACUGGAAUUCCUGGUGUAGCGGUGAAAUGCGCAGAUAUCAGGAGGAACACCGGUGGCGAAGGCGGGGUCUCUGGGCCGAUACUGACGCUGAGGAGCGAAAGCGUGGGGAGCGAACAGGAUUAGAUACC